ACCACUUUAGUAUAAACGUACAAGUGACUUCCAAUCACUAAGAUUUAGAAUCAACCUAAAAAGUGGUA
This 68-nucleotide transfer RNA is filed under the name Coleonyx variegatus. RNAcentral describes it as "tRNA-Gly". The record is from RNAcentral. Lineage: Eukaryota; Metazoa; Chordata; Lepidosauria; Squamata; Eublepharidae.